GUACUGCUGAAGAGUCCCAAACUCGGACGGAGGAGACAGCUGUCCAGUAC
Non-coding RNA from Trichobilharzia regenti, 50 nucleotides. NCBI's taxonomy places the organism in Eukaryota, Metazoa, Platyhelminthes, Trematoda, Strigeidida, Schistosomatidae. The record is from Rfam.